This 509-nucleotide long non-coding RNA is filed under the name Bos taurus (domestic cattle). RNAcentral describes it as "long non-coding RNA NONBTAT008269". The record is from RNAcentral. Lineage: Eukaryota; Metazoa; Chordata; Mammalia; Artiodactyla; Bovidae.
UUUACUCCUUAUUGUCUUGGACAAGCAGUCCUUUCUACCUUUCAAAUGGCUCUUAUCAUGAAGUGAGACUGCAUGAAGCCACAAUUAGAUCAGCUGGAAUCUCUGCUCCUUUUAUACUCUGAACUUAUUAAGCUGUCUUUAUUUGGCUUUAUUUGGUUUAUUUGGCUGAAUAGUGAAUGAGAAACUAUACCAGGAACUUCGGGAAUGUCUUCAAACCAAUUGGGUACCAUUGAGUAACUUUCUUCUUAGUCUUUUACCAGGAGACACACAUCCUGUAUCAGAAUUCCAUUCUUAUAUGGCAUUAUUAGGCAGGUUUAUUUUUAGCUAAAAUUCUAAUCUUUAGUGCUUUUUAAAUUUUAUUUAAGUGGAAUUACAAUUAAAAUACAAAUAUAUUCACACAUUUUACACGUGAAACAGGACUGGCUAAUUUUUCGCAUUUUGUUUGGCUGCAAAUACGACUGAUUUUUUUUUCUUGGGGAAGUGUUGAAAUAUCCUCUUCCCUCUCCAUC